GGAUGAACGCUAGCGGCAGGCCUAACACAUGCAAGUCGAGGGGUAKARRGAGCUUGCUUYYUWGAGACCGGCGGAUGGGUGAGUAACGCGUAUGCAACCUACCUUUUACAGGGGAAUAGCCCGGAGAAAUUCGGAUUAAUGCUCCAUGGUUUAUAKAKRUGGCAUCRYWUUUAUAAUAAAGAUUUAUCGGUAAAAGAUGGGCAUGCGUAUCAUUAGCUAGUUGGUGUGGUAACGGCAUACCAAGGCUACGAUGAUUAGGGGUCCUGAGAGGGAGAUCCCCCACACUGGUACUGAGACACGGACCAGACUCCUACGGGAGGCAGCAGUGAGGAAUAUUGGUCAAUGGAGGCAACUCUGAACCAGCCAUGCCGCGUGCAGGAUGACGGUCCUAUGGAUUGUAAACUGCUUUUGUACGGGAAGAAAUGUAAUUACGUGUAAUUAUUUGACGGUACCGUAAGAAUAAGGAUCGGCUAACUCCGU
This 480-nucleotide ribosomal RNA is filed under the name Myroides sp. 'ARUP UnID 422'. RNAcentral describes it as "partial 16S ribosomal RNA". It matches the Rfam family "Bacterial small subunit ribosomal RNA", at positions 27 to 506 of the family's 1533-position model. The record is from RNAcentral. Lineage: Bacteria; Pseudomonadati; Bacteroidota; Flavobacteriia; Flavobacteriales; Flavobacteriaceae.